Molecule: long non-coding RNA, 1770 nt
Organism: Lutra lutra (Eurasian river otter)
Lineage: Eukaryota; Metazoa; Chordata; Mammalia; Carnivora; Mustelidae
Exons: 3
Source: RefSeq, a predicted model, not a curated record
UUGUUUGGUGAUGCGAUCGCCCUGACUUGUGUGUCUGGGUGGGAGAAUGAUACUGGGAUUUGGAAGUGUUCUUGGUGCUUUGGUGUGCAAGCGGGGCUCAGAGUUCCUAAAGUAUGUCAGGUGCAACUGUUAGAUUGCUUCCCUUUGAUUUUGUCACAGUUAUCGAGAGCCUAGCACUUUCAUAGCAAUGACUACAUUUCUGACUAUAUACUUAAUGUAUUUAAUUACAUUGAUUUUCUAAAUCAAUUUCCUAAGUAAAUCAAUUUAAUUAAAUAAAUUAAAUGUGUAUUUAGACAGACAGUCAUUGCUAUUAAAAGAGGUAUUGUAAUUUAGCAUCUUAUUCCAUUUUUAAUGGUCCUUGGCUUUGGAAUUUUUCCAAAAUGGGACUUUUAUAGUUAAAUUUAAAAACCUGACAGUUCUUUUUUUUUUUUUUUUUGGCUGGGGAUAAUCAUAUAAAAAUAUACAUAUAAGGCUAAAUAUCUUAAGAAAUCUUAUAUUUAUUAAUGUUGUGUAUGUCAGGUUUCAUACUUUAAACCAGAUAUUUGUUGAAAUGAUGCAAUAUGUUUAAUUUUGGAAAUAAACAUUCACAUAUGAAACUGCUUUGGUUUUGAAAGCUGCGUCAUGUUAAGUAAUAUAUUUCUCUUGAAAAAGAAAAUCGAGAGUAGCAAAAGUUCAAAAUCUAUUAGGGACUGAAAAGUGUUAAUUCUGUACUACCUAAAGGUGGAUAAAUAGCUCGUCUUCACUUUUAUAAUUUAUGCCUGUAAUUAUGUUUCUUCCAAAGUUUUAUAUGAAGUUUAUCAAAAUGUAAUUUUUUUCAGAAAAAUAUCAGUUUCAGUGUUAGGUAGCCAAGAGGACAGAUGAAUGAAAAAUAAACAACUGUAUACAUGAUGUAAAAAUAUGUGCAAAUAUGCAAGAUUCAUGCCAUUUUUCAUGAGAAGUCUAUCUUGUGUGUCUCUCGUACGGUCACUGAACUUUUGUGUAUCCUGAUGUUAUAAAUGAUGCAGCCUUGAUUUCUAGGAAAUAUUUAAUUAGCAGAUGGUUUAUACUCAUUGGUAUUUGGCCAUCAUCACUGUAUAUAAUGACAAUUUGGAGAUAGAAUUGUAGUGUUUAAUUUGAGAAAGAAUUUUAUUUGUGAAAAGUUCAAAACCAGAAUGAUAUGAUGUUCAAACAGCUUAAAUAGAGAGUCGGGGGAGGCAGAGUAAACACUUUGUUUUGCCACAUUCCCUAAAAUUUAUGCAUUGUUUGCUCUUUAAAUGGACAUUUUACAUUUGAAAGGACUUGUUUUUUCCUUUGAAGAGAGCAGGUUGAAUUUUAAGGCUUCACGUUUUUGUCCCCUCAUUUUCCUUCCCUGUCCCAACAACCCACUGGUCAUACAUUACUCCCCUCAUCUUUCUUCCUAUUCAUUCUUUUUCUAAAUUAAAAAAAAAAUAUUUCUGCUUUUUAAAAUGAGAGAUAGAGAUAUAUAUUCCACUACAGUUACAUAGAGUAACAUUUCUUUCUUUGGAUUGUUUUUGGAAGACUUAAAAAAAAAACAAAAAUAAUUCGCACAAAAAAGUUAUAUCAUAAAUCGUAAACUAUCACAGAAAUUUAUUUCGAAAAGAACUAAACAUUUCACCUUGAGACAUCCACGGGACAGCUAACAUAAGGAUUGCAAUCAAUUCAAAGGAAUAUACAUUUUAUUCAAUACCAGAAGGUGUUUGCAGAUCCAUUCUUAAUUUUGCAAAAACCCUUAUGACACAGGUAAUGGAGAAAUAUAUGGAGGGGAAGGGG